UACGAAGGGGGCUAGCGUUGUUCGGAAUUACUGGGCGUAAAGCGUGCGCAGGCGGCCAUCCAAGUCAGUGGUGAAAGCCCGGAGCUCAACUCCGGAAUUGCCAUUGAAACUGUUUGGCUCGAGUACGAGAGAGGUGAGUGGAAUUCCCAGUGUAGGGGUGAAAUGCGUAGAUAUCUGGAGGAACACCGGUGGCGAAGGCGGCAUCCUGGACCGAUACUGACGCUGAGGAGCGAAAGCCAGGGGAGCAAACGGG
This 253-nucleotide ribosomal RNA is filed under the name uncultured bacterium. RNAcentral's name for it is "partial 16S ribosomal RNA". It matches the Rfam family "Bacterial small subunit ribosomal RNA", at positions 524 to 776 of the family's 1533-position model. The record is from RNAcentral.